RNAcentral lists this ribosomal RNA (494 nucleotides) under uncultured bacterium. RNAcentral's name for it is "partial 16S ribosomal RNA". It matches the Rfam family "Bacterial small subunit ribosomal RNA", at positions 29 to 507 of the family's 1533-position model. The record is from RNAcentral.
ACGAACGCUGGCGGCGUGCCUAAUACCUGCAAGUAGAACGCUGAAGGAGGAGCUUGCUUCUCUGGAUGAGUUGCGAACGGGUGAGUAACGCGUAGGUAACCUGCCUGGUAGCGGGGGAUAACUAUUGGAAACGAUAGCUAAUACCGCAUAAGAGUAGAUGUUGCAUGACAUUUGCUUAAAAGGUGCAAUUGCAUCACUACCAGAUGGACCUGCGUUGUAUUAGCUAGUUGGUGAGGUAACGGCUCACCAAGGCAACGAUACAUAGCCGACCUGAGAGGGUGAUCGGCCACACUGGGACUGAGACACGGCCCAGACUCCUACGGGAGGCAGCAGCAGGGAAUCUUCGGCAAUGGACGGAAGUCUGACCGAGCAACGCCGCGUGAGUGAAGAAGGGUUUCGGAUCGUAAAGCUCUGUUGUAAGAGAAGAACGAGUGUGAGAGUGGAAAGUUCACACUGUGACGGUAUCUUACCAGAAAGGGACGGCUAACUACGUG